RNAcentral lists this long non-coding RNA (900 nucleotides) under Danio rerio (zebrafish). Its description in RNAcentral is "lncRNA si:dkey-27k4.4 (ENSDARG00000105651.2)". Lineage: Eukaryota; Metazoa; Chordata; Actinopteri; Cypriniformes; Danionidae. The record is from RNAcentral.
AUGCUGGCUGUUUACACAGAACUUCGCACGCUUUUCAAAGAAAAGUCUAUUUUGGAGUCCACACUUUCAGGUAAGAAUGUAUUAAAGAUAUAUUUUCAGUCUAAUUUUUACAUGUGAAGCCGUGUUCUGUUGAUUUUGUCUGACUCUCUGGUCUCGGCUUUCCCCCGCUUUGUGCUCCGGGCUGGCUGGUGUAACGUUACGUUGGCCUGCAUGAUGGAGUUUGCUAAGAUGUCUGCAGCUUAUUAAAGAAGUUAAUACAACGUGAUAUCGAAGUCACCGAGGGACAUAACGUUAUAGAAGGACAAGAUUGAACAACAUAAUGCAGCCUAACAGCAUCAGAGCAAUGAAGGCAUGUCAUAUAAAAGCAUGGCUCAGUUACAAGAUGUUUUCAUCGAAAGAUGAGAGAUCAACUUAAGAAUGCUAUGGACCUGACUUUAAGGAAUUGAUUUUACAGCAGCACUUCUCAUGUUGCCAGCCUUGUUAAGCGAGACACUUCAACAUUUCGUUGUGCUCCGGAUGAUGCAGUGGGUAGUGCUGUCACCUUACAGCAAGAAGGUCGCUGGUUCGAGCCUCGGCUGGAUCAGUUGGCAUUUGUGUGAGGAGUUUGCAUAUUCUUCCAGUGUUCGUGAAGGUUUCCUCCAAGUGCUCCGGUUUCCCCACAAGUCCAAAGACAUGCGCUAUAGCUGAAUUUGUGAACCAUCUUCACCACAUCCAACAGUUCAAGUACAGGAGGAGGCCACCGACUGGACAACUGUGUUAACAAGACGAGUCACAGCAGUCUUCAGAGUUGAUGGGAUUGCGAUUGGCCGGCCUAAUGAUGUGGACGAAUAUACAUUUUUGACAUAUCCAUCUUAUUAGAAGAUCACCUUGAUGUUUCUGCAGUGGAAUGUUUUGAAUGAA